CAGAACGAACGCUGGCGGCGUGCUUAACACAUGCAAGUCGAACGCGAAAGGGACUUCGGUCCUGAGUAAAGUGGCGCACGGGUGAGUAACGCGUAGAUAACCUGUCUUCAUGUCUGGAAUAAUACGCCGAAAGGGGUACUAAUACCGGAUAUUCUUGCUUUUCAUAAGUUAUGCAAGCAAAGGUGGCCUCUGCAUAUGCUACUGCAUGAAGAGGGGUCUGCGUACCAUUAGCUAGUAGGUGGGGUAAUGGCCUACCUAGGCGACGAUGGUUAGCGGGUCUGAGAGGAUGAUCCGCCACACUGGCACUGGAACACGGGCCAGACUCCUACGGGAGGCAGCAGUGAGGAAUAUUGCGCAAUGGGGGAAACCCUGACGCAGCGACGCCGCGUGAGUGAGGAAGGCCUUCGGGUCGUAAAGCUCUGUCAAGAGGAAAGAAGUGUACAAUGGCUAAUACCUGUUGUAUUUGACGGUACCUCUAAAGGAAGCACCGGCUAACUCCGUGCCAGCAGCUGC
This 513-nucleotide ribosomal RNA is filed under the name uncultured bacterium. RNAcentral's name for it is "bacterial SSU rRNA". It matches the Rfam family "Bacterial small subunit ribosomal RNA", at positions 25 to 518 of the family's 1533-position model. The record is from RNAcentral.